RNAcentral lists this ribosomal RNA (440 nucleotides) under uncultured bacterium. RNAcentral describes it as "partial 16S ribosomal RNA". It matches the Rfam family "Bacterial small subunit ribosomal RNA", at positions 338 to 795 of the family's 1533-position model. The record is from RNAcentral.
CCUACGGGUGGCAGCAGUGGGGAAUAUUGGACAAUGGGCGGAACCCUGAUCCAGCGACGCCGCGUGAGUGAAGAAGUACUUCGGUAUGUAAAGCUCUAUCAGCAGGGAAGAAAAUGACGGUACCUGACUAAGAAGCCCCGGCUAACUACUUGCCAGCAGCCGCGGUCAUACGUAGGGGGCAAGCGAUCUGCGGAAUUACUGGGUGUAAAGGGAGCGUAGGCGGUGCAGCAUGUAUGAUGUGAAAGGUCGGGGCCCAACCCCGGGACUGCAUUGGAAACUGUUGAACUGGAGUACAGGAGAGGUAAGGGGAAUUCCUGGUGUAGGAGUGAAAUGCGUAGAUAUUAGGAGGAACACCAGUGGCGAAGGCGGCUUACUGGACUGUAACUGACGUUGAGGAUCGAAAGCGUGGGGAGCAAACAGGAUUAGAUACCCGUGUAGUC